This 458-nucleotide ribosomal RNA is filed under the name uncultured Anoxybacillus sp. Its description in RNAcentral is "bacterial SSU rRNA". It matches the Rfam family "Bacterial small subunit ribosomal RNA", at positions 923 to 1382 of the family's 1533-position model. Lineage: Bacteria; Bacillati; Bacillota; Bacilli; Caryophanales; Anoxybacillaceae. The record is from RNAcentral.
GCACAAGCGGUGGAGCAUGUGGUUUAAUCGAAGCAACGCGAAGAACCUUACCAGGUCUUGACAUCCCUGACAACCCGAGAGAUCGGGCGUUCCCCUUCGGGGGACAGGGUGACAGGUGGUGCAUGGUUGUCGUCAGCUCGUGUCGUGAGAUGUUGGGUUAAGCCCCGCAACGAGCGCAACCCUCGACCUUAGUUGCCAGCAUUCAGUUGGGCACUCUAAGGUGACUGCCGGCUAAAAGUCGGAGGAAGGUGGGGAUGACGUCAAAUCAUCAUGCCCCUUAUGACCUGGGCUACACACGUGCUACAAUGGGCGGUACAAAGGGUCGCGAACCCGCGAGGGGGAGCCAAUCCCAAAAAGCCGCUCUCAGUUCGGAUUGCAGGCUGCAACUCGCCUGCAUGAAGCCGGAAUCGCUAGUAAUCGCGGAUCAGCAUGCCGCGGUGAAUACGUUCCCGGGCCUU